This is a long non-coding RNA of Balaenoptera musculus (blue whale), 1885 nucleotides long. RefSeq lists it as uncharacterized. The transcript is spliced from 3 exons. Lineage: Eukaryota; Metazoa; Chordata; Mammalia; Artiodactyla; Balaenopteridae. The record is from RefSeq and is a predicted model, not a curated record.
CUCAUGCAGUGAGCAAAGGCUUCUGGUUCAGAGAAUGUUAAGCAGUUGCUAAGUAAAUCUGUCCUGUAUCCCAGAGAAGCAGGACCCAGCUCUCUCCUGGGCUGUUGUCUCAGCUGCCUCCCCACACAAAAGCUAUUGCUUUAAAGAGGAGGCCCUUUGCCAAGAUGCCAAACUCUCCUUUGUCCCUGCAAAUAAAACUUUCCACUAGGUGGCCUUCAAGUUCCUGUUAAGGAGAAGAGGGGAAAAAAAGACAAAAUCCAAAUCUUAAUAGAGAGAGAGAGAGAGAGAAAGCAACAGAGAGAGAGGGAAACCAGAGAGCCUCAACCGGGGCUGCUCUGGGAAGACACCAGUCCCUGAGCAGCUGAUUUGGGCACCCAGCAAUUAGUCUGGGAUUUGGGACAAAAAGAGCUUGGCCAGCGAUUCUUCUGGGCUGGGCAUCACCUAGCAUGUCCUAUUCCCACUGGUCUCUGUGGGUGGUGGAAAGGUGCCCUGGACUUACUGUAUGGCCUUACUGUAUGGCUAACUGACAGGGCCUGGGCCUGUGCUUGGUCUUUCAUGGGUGCCCUUUCUCUUCAUGAAAAUGACAUCAGUGCACAAACUUAGUGAUAGGACACACUGGGCCACAUCGCUGGGCUUCUUCUGCACCAGCUCCAUUGGGUUGAAACAGACUUGAACACAUCCAUCUUCUCCCCAUAGAGGCUGCUGGCUUGGGGCUCAAGUCCCUCCCUAUCCCAGGCUUUCUGAUGCUGCACUUCUGAGGAAGGGGAACGCCUUUGUAACGUUUACAUUGGGGCCCUAGAAUAUGAACUUGAUCUUGGAAGACAGAACUCAAUGCUUCUCCCCCGCAGUUUGCCAGUACCAUUGAAGGGUCCAGAUGCUGCCUGGCUUUGUAUCCAACACACUCACGAGUGGGAGCCUUUAACCCUCCCAGCCAAGACAUCCUCUGCCUCUACAGAGGAAUCUGUCCUCUUGAGCAUCCGAAGACAGCCAUGCUGGGGUCAGGUCAGAGAUCAGAGGACAACAAGUCAGAUGGCAAGUUGGCCAGUGUGACCCAAGAGACUGUGCAAGUGGCCAACAAGUAAAGGCUUGGGAAGGCCAGGCCCACCAGUAAAAGUGUUGUUUCGAAUUUGUUACUGAGGUUAAAGUACUGAAGUGGCAGUCUGCAGAAAGGAGACAGGUGCUAACAAGGAGCUGGCUGAAAUGCACAGGGCAUGGUUUCCAGAGUCGGGCAGACCUGUGCUCUAGUCAUAGCCCCACUUAUGAGAAGUGCAGCCUAGGGAAGCUUCUUCAUCCCUCUGAGCCUCAACUUCCUUCUUUGUAAAAACGUCUUCCUCUGAGACUGAGCAAGUGGAAUAGCAGAUCCAGGAACCUCUUACAUACAUGAGAGAAGACUGCUGCCUUUUCAGCGGCAGAGAAAUUUCUAGGACUGGCUGUCCCCUACUGAGAUCAGUGUAGUGUAUGUACCAUGGCCUGCAUCUCCUGCUCAUUUGCCAGUCUCCUCCCACUGAACGGGUGGGUUAUCAGCACACAUUUGGACCCUCCUGAGUGACCUGCUUCUCGAGUACAGCGCUCUUGAUCCUAUUUACAUGCACAGCCCUGUGGAGAAGGAGCCCAGAGGGGAUGUGUGCUUUCUAUUAAAAGUGCUCUGGUCCUCAUCUUUUCUUACCAGAUUCCAAACUUUGUUUUCAAAGGGAGGGUUUAAAAAUGGGAUUCUGUAAGCAAAAUUGGGCAGUUUUAUCUUGCAGUAGGUUGUCUGUACAUGUUCUAAUGUUUUGUAGAACACUUGUACCUGUUUAAAUGUAUUGAUGUGGAUAAUAUUAAAUAUCUUAACUAUUUAAAUAAUUCAUUGUAUUGUUUCUGAGAAGUUGAGGAAUUACUACAUACA